AUGGAUCAAAUCUUCCUGAAGCGACUCGUUAGGCAAAA
This 38-nucleotide ribosomal RNA is filed under the name Choleoeimeria sp. JRB-2016. RNAcentral describes it as "small subunit ribosomal RNA". Lineage: Eukaryota; Apicomplexa; Conoidasida; Eucoccidiorida; Eimeriidae. RNAcentral also lists the same sequence under 1 other name. The record is from RNAcentral.